ACAAACUUGGUCAUUUAGAGGAAGUAAAAGUCGUAACAAGGUCUCCGUAGGUGAACCUGCGGAGGGAUCAUUACCGAGUGAGGGCCUCUGGCCCGACCUCCAACCCUUUGAUAUCAAAACUUGUUGCCUCGGGGGUGACCCGGCCCUGUCGGCGCCGGGGCCCCCGAUGGACCCACCAACUCUGCAUCUUUGCGUCGGAUGAAAUAAAGUUAAUUGAUUAAAACUUUCAACAACGGAUCUCUUGGUUCUGGCAUCGAUGAAGAACGCAGC
RNAcentral lists this unclassified non-coding RNA (270 nucleotides) under uncultured fungus. Its description in RNAcentral is "partial contains small subunit ribosomal RNA, internal transcribed spacer 1, and 5.8S ribosomal RNA". The stretch from base 1 to 73 matches the Rfam family "Eukaryotic small subunit ribosomal RNA", at positions 1759 to 1831 of the family's 1831-position model. The record is from RNAcentral. Lineage: Eukaryota; Fungi.